UUGCCCUACGGGAGGCAGCAGUGAGGAAUAUUGGUCAAUGGACGAAAGUCUGAACCAGCCAUGCCGCGUGCAGGAUGACGGCUCUAUGAGUUGUAAACUGCUUUUGUAUUAGGGUAAACACCCCUACGUGUAGGGGCUUGAAAGUAUAAUACGAAUAAGGAUCGGCUAACUCCGUGCCAGCAGCCGCGGUAAUACGGAGGAUCCAACCGUUCUCCGGAUUUAUUGGUUUUAAAGGGUGCGUAGGCGGUUU
RNAcentral lists this ribosomal RNA (250 nucleotides) under uncultured bacterium. Its description in RNAcentral is "partial 16S ribosomal RNA". It matches the Rfam family "Bacterial small subunit ribosomal RNA", at positions 334 to 581 of the family's 1533-position model. The record is from RNAcentral.